This 75-nucleotide transfer RNA is filed under the name Chloroflexota bacterium. RNAcentral's name for it is "Chloroflexi bacterium (sediment metagenome) tRNA-Met". It matches the Rfam family "tRNA". Rfam says of the family: Transfer RNA (tRNA) molecules are approximately 80 nucleotides in length. Their secondary structure includes four short double-helical elements and three loops (D, anti-codon, and T loops). Further hydrogen bonds mediate the characteristic L-shaped molecular structure. tRNAs have two regions of fundamental functional importance: the anti-codon, which is responsible for specific mRNA codon recognition, and the 3' end, to which the tRNAs corresponding amino acid is attached (by aminoacyl-tRNA synthetases). tRNAs cope with the degeneracy of the genetic code in two manners: having more than one tRNA (with a specific anti-codon) for a particular amino acid; and 'wobble' base-pairing, i.e. permitting non-standard base-pairing at the 3rd anti-codon position. Lineage: Bacteria; Bacillati; Chloroflexota. The record is from RNAcentral. RNAcentral also lists the same sequence under 1 other name.
GGGCCCGUAGCUCAGCGGCAGAGCAGUCGGCUCAUAACCGAUCGGUCGCAGGUUCGAAUCCUGCCGGGCCCACCU